RNAcentral lists this long non-coding RNA (609 nucleotides) under Ananas comosus (pineapple). RNAcentral's name for it is "long non-coding RNA (ACOM_LNC007214)". The record is from RNAcentral. Lineage: Eukaryota; Viridiplantae; Streptophyta; Magnoliopsida; Poales; Bromeliaceae.
CGACUACCAGCUCGAAGCACCCACCUGUCACAAAUGCGUUGAAAACCUGAGUGCGCAACGAGUCAACCGGACCUACGAAGAUCCACCAGGUCAGUAUCCAACCCACUAACCCAAAGUACACAACUCACAACCCCACACAAAUCCCCGAAUCGGUUUCCCAAAAUAGAUCAACGUAACUCGUCGAAAGUCCCGAAUAUCACACUGGGACGCCGUCGGGACCCACUAAGUGUCCCGAAACUCAUCGACUCGUGUCACGAGUCACCUACUACCACAAAACACCCCAAUUUGGACGUCUUGGCAGCAAACACAAGGUUACACAACUACACUAUUAUCGCCGGAUAAUUAUACACAUACGGGUUCCCGGAAGUGUCAAUUUCGACACCGGAACCCACCGUCGCUCACCCGUCAUCUCCGAACCUACGAUAUGAUGAUGGUGACCAGCCGACAAGGCUUAGCGACAACUCACAGGGCAACCAAACAACAUCGGAAGAAAUCUGAACCAAAACCGCGUUCUUUCGGCAAAUUUCACCGAAAAAACGCACUGAAAUCGACUUUCGAUUUCUGUGAAGGCUAACAGACCUUAGACAAUCAGUCCAGAGGUCACCACAC